This is a long non-coding RNA of Cotesia glomerata, 1416 nucleotides long. RefSeq lists it as uncharacterized. The record is from RefSeq and is a predicted model, not a curated record. The transcript has 4 exons. Lineage: Eukaryota; Metazoa; Arthropoda; Insecta; Hymenoptera; Braconidae.
CCAGCUUAUUGCCAUAGGUAUUAUGCUAGACAAUAAAGUGCCAAGUAUCCUGGGAAGAAACAUCCCACCAGAGUACCCACUGGCGACAAUGCUCCAAUCCAGGACGCUUCUUCGUAAGUAAUUGGUCGAUCAAGCGGGUUUUCUUCUUCCACUGGAUCACUUUGGAGCAUCAGCAAAAUUGGACUCGACCAAACCAUUAUCGCACCGCCUCCCAUCACACAUAAAUUCGCUGAAAUCAUUAUCAUUAUCGUUAAUCACGUUAUGCCAAUACUUAACUGUAGAUUUAAUAAUAUAUAUGAUUAUUAUUUAAAAAAUCGGUGGUUUACAUUCAACCGCUGUCUUGCCAGCAGGUAACGGGUUUUAUUGCGUAAGUUUAAUUUAUCAAUCUUAAAUCAUUACAUAUGUUUCAGGUUUUUUCGUAUAAUUAAAUCAUAGUAUUUUUAGAUAAAGAAAAUAAUGGCUUAUUACUAAUUACUAAUUACAUUCAAGAUUAACAUUUAGUGUAGAUAUUUAUGUGAAUUACCGGUAAUAGCGGCGAUAAAUUGAAGUGCCUUGGAACCUUGAGUGUCUUUGUCGGUCUUCAUUUUGUUGUUAUCGAGGGACUUGUUUAUUGUCAAGGUAGACUUGGACGUCAAAAGAAUAAAUAAAACAUCCAAAGUAGGUUUAACGCCGCGAUAGUUGCAGUUAAAACUGACAGAACGGGCAAUUAUGUCACAAUAAUUUUAGAGUAAUCACACCGGCGAUCUUGAUGAGUAGAUAAGAACAGCACACGCGAAUUAUUUCGAAUGAGGAAGGACUCUGACGGAAGCCAUUCGUUAAAAUAAAUUCAAGCUAACGUUGUUCACAUACGUGAGGACUUACCUUUAGUUUCCGGCAAAAUAAAUACUGUGAACAGGACACUUAGGACGCAGAAAACUCCGAAGAGCCAGAAGGCAGUGUAUUGUCCCCACGCUGCUGCGAUACUGCUGAAGUACUUGGUGAUCAAGAAUCCCAAAAACCAGCAGGCAAAGACAAAUAUCCCCGAGGCCUUGGAUUUAACUUCCGUGGAGAACAUUUCACCCAUAACUGUCCAAGGAAGCGGACCCCAACCGAUGCUUCUGUCAACUACCAGUGGUGUCACACCAGAAGCAAGAAAUUGAACAAUUCCGACAAUUAUCGUCUCGAUUGAAGAAUUGAUUCCGCUGUUACCCGCGCUAGCAAAAAUAUUCUCUGAAUAGAAUAGUAUAUUACACCCCUAGGAAAUUAAAGUAAGAAAUGUCUCAGAUCACAUGUGAUCUCAGGCUUUCUUAUUUACUUCCCGAGGAGUGUAUACUAUUUUUUUCCUCGACGGAGGCGAAAAGCGGCAACUUCGUUUUAAUUGAGCACGGUCGAUGAAACGCGAAUAUGUUUGUUGGAAAUUAUUUUCACUAUUUAAAG